UUAUAUAAUCCAAUUCAAUUAACUAUAUAUUUUCUCUAUACUUAAAGUACCGAAAGGAAAAAUAUCUCAACCCCUACAGUAAAUUAAAAAAUUGUACCUUUUGUAUCAUGGCUUAGCAAUUAAAUAUUCUUAUAAGAUCACUCCCGAAAAUAAUUGAGCUGAUUUUUGUUUGCUAUGCGCCCACUUAUUUAUGUUUCAAAAUAAAAAGAAAAACAAAAACCAGAGGCUACAUACCUACCGCAAUUAUUGAUAUCUGGUUUUUUAUUUAUUUAUCCACUAAAGAUAUUAAAUUUAACUUAAUAUUUUAUAUAAUAGAGGCUAAACUCUAUUAUUUACACCUAUACAAAUUUAUAAACCUUAUAACUUAGUAGGCCUCAUAAUAGCCUCCUUAUACAACAUAUAACAAUUAACUCUCUAUAUCAGUUAUUAUAUAUAAUCCUAUUAUGGUUUAAUCAAUAAAAAACAUUAAUACCUUAUCAUUAUUAAUUUAUAUUCUGCUAAGAUUAGUAUUUAAAUAUAUAAUUAAUCUAUACCACUUAUAUCUAUUAUAAUCAAUUAUAUAAAUUUCCUAAACUACUAGAAAGGAACUCGGCAAAUAUAAAUUCCGACUGUUUAUCAAAAACACUGCUUCUUGCUUCCCCAUAAGAAGUCGAUCCUGCCCAGUGAUUCUAUUCAACGGCCGCGGUACCCUGACCGUGCUAAGGUAGCGUGAUAAUUCGCCCUUUAAUUGUGGGCUUGUAUGAAUGGACGAACGAGAAUUUAUCUGUCUCUCUAGUAUUUAUAAAAAUUAAUCUCCAGGUGAAGAAGCCUGGCUGCUUCUAAAGGACAAAAAGACCCUAAAGAGCUCCGUUAAUAUUUAUCAACAAUAAUUAAUAUCUAUAUAUAACAGCUACUUCAAAUAUUAACUUAACUGGGGCGGUUAAGGAAUAAUUUUAAUCUUCCAUCUAUAAACUACAACGACCAACACGUCAACUAAUAAUUGAUCCUUAUAAGAACACAGAAAAAAGCUACCUUAGGGAUAACAGAUUAAUCCUCCUCAAGAGUACACAUUGACAGGAGGGAUUGACACCUCGAUGUUGGCUUAGGGUUACUUGAGGGUAGCAGAAGCCCUCAAAGUAGGUUUGUUCAACCUUUAAUUCCCUACAUGAGCUGAGUUCAGACCGGCGUAAGCUAGGUCAGUUUCUAUCCUUAGAAGUCCCCUAUAAUUCUAAAUCAAUAGUACGAAAGGACCUUGAAAUUAUAAAUAUUUUAAAACACUGCAACCCAAUAACACUUUAUUCAAAUACUAAUA
RNAcentral lists this ribosomal RNA (1291 nucleotides) under Thelepus plagiostoma. RNAcentral describes it as "16S ribosomal RNA". The stretch from base 795 to 1196 matches the Rfam family "Bacterial large subunit ribosomal RNA", at positions 2049 to 2651 of the family's 2925-position model. Lineage: Eukaryota; Metazoa; Annelida; Polychaeta; Terebellida; Terebellidae. The record is from RNAcentral.